ANNGUNCNGNGUGGGGNNACGGUACCGGCGGAGGAAGCCCCUGCAAACUACGUGCCAGCAGCCGCGGUAAGACGUAGGGGGCAAGCGUUGUCCGGAAUUACUGGGCGUAAAGGGCGUGUAGGCGGUUGCGCAUGUAGCGGUUUUCAGCGUCGGNNNACCCGACGGAGGGCGGCUAAACGGCGCAGCUMNAGGGCAGGAGAGGUGCAUGGAAUUCCUKGUGGAGCGGUGAAAUGCGUAGAGAUCAGGAAGAACACCGGUGGCGAAGGCGGUNCACUGGCCUNGCCCUGACGCUKAGGCGCGACAGCGUGGGGAGCGAACGGGAUUAGAUACCCCGGUAGUCCACGCCGUAAACGAUGGAUGCGAGGUGUCGCGGGGGGUUCCACCUUGCGGUGCCGGACGUAACGCACUCAGUAUCCCGCCUGGGGAGUACGGCCGCAAGGUUGAAACUCAAAGGAAUUGACGGGGGCCCGCACAAGCAGUGGAGCAUGUGGUUUAAUUCGANGCAACGCGCAGAACCUUACCAGGGCUAGACGGGAGCCGUGAGSGCGAAAGCGCGGGGCUGCUUCGGCAGAGCGGUCGUCRGGUGCUGCAUGGUUGUCGUCAGCUCGUGUCGUGAGAUGUUGGGUUAAGUCCCGCAACGAGCGCAACCCUCGUCGGCUGUUGCCAGCGAUUCGGUCGGGCACUCAGCCGAGACAGCCGGGGACGACCCGGAGGAAGGUGGGGAUGACGUCAAAUCCGCAUGGCCUUCAUGUCCUGGGCUACACACGUGCUACAAUGGCGCCGACAACGGGCCGCGACCUCGCGAKGGGGAGCGAAUCCUUCAAACGGCGUCUCAGUUCGGAUUGCAGGCUGCAACUCGCCUGCAUGAAGCCGGAAUUGCUAGUAAUCGCGGAUCAGCAUGCCGCGGUGAAUCCGUUCCCGGGCCUUGUACACACCGCCCGUCACACCACGAGAGUCGGCCACACCCGAAGCCGGUCGGUCGAACCCCGUCAGGGGACGACCCCGURGACGGUGGGGCGGAUGAUNGGG
This 1029-nucleotide ribosomal RNA is filed under the name bacterium ALV. Its description in RNAcentral is "16S ribosomal RNA". It matches the Rfam family "Bacterial small subunit ribosomal RNA", at positions 455 to 1479 of the family's 1533-position model. The record is from RNAcentral. Lineage: Bacteria; Bacillati; Bacillota; Bacilli; Caryophanales; Alicyclobacillaceae.